UGAGGCAGCUGUUGGAGAGGGAUGGGUCAAGGGAUGGAGGGUAGCACUGUGAGCUGAAAUAGGUGAAUUGGGAGGGAUGCUGGCUAGAGAAGAGGAGGCAAGAAGAGAUUGAAGGGAAAUCUCAAGGGGCUCCAGAGACUACUACGAUGGUGCAAAGUCACAGAAGCCCUGGGAAAAGCAGGUAGAAUGGAGUUGCCAUGACAUUGAGCCUCACCUAGAUGCCAGUUCCAGAUAUUGGCAGACUGCUGGCCUCCUGAGGAGCACAGGAAGGGGCCUGGCAGACUGGUGAUCCUGGUUGGAGAUGAAGAGGGGCUGAUUAAGAGGAGCUGACUGAGGCUGGGAGGUUUCCUGCCCGGGAGUGGCGAGCCUGUCAGAGCUGCACCUGGGCCUACCUGUACCUAGGAGAGAUUCAGGGUAUGGUUGGCUUCCCACAAACA
This 437-nucleotide long non-coding RNA is filed under the name Homo sapiens (human). RNAcentral's name for it is "HSALNT0386762". The record is from RNAcentral. Lineage: Eukaryota; Metazoa; Chordata; Mammalia; Primates; Hominidae.